RNAcentral lists this ribosomal RNA (600 nucleotides) under uncultured bacterium. RNAcentral describes it as "bacterial SSU rRNA". It matches the Rfam family "Bacterial small subunit ribosomal RNA", at positions 780 to 1384 of the family's 1533-position model. The record is from RNAcentral.
AGAUAACCGGGUAGUCCACGAGAGUAAAAGAGGCCACCUACCACUUUCAAAAAAACUGUUAAGUGGCGCCGCGAUUGCAAUCUAGAUCCCUGAUGUUGAUACGGUGGCAGGGUUAAAACUCAAAGGAAAGACGGGGGCCCGAACAAGCGGUGGAGCAUGUGGUGUAAUUCGACUCAACGCGCAGAACCUUACCAGCCCUUGACAUGUCCCGUAUGGGUUUCAGAGAUGAGAUCCUUCAAUUCGGCUGGCGGGAACACAGGUGCUGCAUGGCUGUCGUCAGCUCGUGUCGUGAGAGGUUGGGUUAAGUCCCGCAACGAGCGCAACCCCCGCCUUUAGUUGCCAUCAUUUAAUUGGGCACUCUAAAGGGACUGCCGGUGAUAAGCCGCGAGGAAGGUGGGGAUGACGUCAAGUCCUCAUGGCCCUUACGGGCUGGGCUACACACGUGCUACAAUGGCGGUGACAGAGGGAUGCAAAGGGGCGACCCUUCGCAAAUCUCAAAAAGCCGUCUCAGUUCGGAUUGGGCUCUGCAACUCGAGCCCAUUAUUCCAAUCGCUAGUAAUCGCAGCACAGCACGCUGCGGUGUAUACGUUCCCGGCCUGU